CGGAGGAGCUAGCGUUAUUCGGAAUUACUGGGCGUAAAGCGCACGUAGGCGGCUUUGUAAGUAAGAGGUGAAAGCCUGGAGCUCAACUCCAGAAUUGCCUUUAGACUGCAUCGCUCGAAUCAUGGAGAGGUCAGUGGAAUUCCGAGUGUAGAGGUGAAAUUCGUAGAUAUUCGGAAGAACACCAGUGGCGAAGGCGGCUGACUGGACAUGUAUUGACGCUGAGGUGCGAAAGCGUGGGAGCAAACAGGAUU
This 251-nucleotide ribosomal RNA is filed under the name uncultured bacterium. RNAcentral's name for it is "partial 16S ribosomal RNA". It matches the Rfam family "Bacterial small subunit ribosomal RNA", at positions 527 to 779 of the family's 1533-position model. The record is from RNAcentral.